This 521-nucleotide long non-coding RNA is filed under the name Homo sapiens (human). RNAcentral's name for it is "non-protein coding lnc-LMAN2-1:2". The record is from RNAcentral. Lineage: Eukaryota; Metazoa; Chordata; Mammalia; Primates; Hominidae.
GCAGCACCACCUCUAGCGGGCUCAAGCCGUGCUUCUCCAGAAUGGGCUGCAGCGCCUCCUGCAGCCGCUUGGUGGGCUUGGCUGAGAUUCGUACCACGCGCUCCAGCGCCGUCAGCUCCAGCCUGCGAGGAACCCUCGGGCAGCAGAGGGCCGGAGGGCCGGCCCCCCGCCAAACCCUUCCCAGGACAAACGCGAGGGGGUGGAGCUUGAACUGCAGAAGUCGGCUCACCUCAGAUUUGCUGCUGACGAAGGCUAGGAAGCCAAGGUCCAGGCUGGCGGAGGAGUUGAGGGAGCCCUGAGACUCUCGGCGCAAGGCGGCGUUUGCAGUCCCGCCCAGCUCUAGUGAAGAGGGAGCGAUGAACGCGAACAGCCCCCCGCCCUCACCCAUCCUCUGCGGAAGCCUGUUCCCCACUGGUGGGCCUUGUUUGGAGCCAUCCUGCAGGGGCCCAGGUGUAAAUCCCUGGGAGCGACACCACCGUUGGAGAUUUCCAAACGUCUGAGGUCUAGCCCAAGACCCGAAC